RNAcentral lists this ribosomal RNA (497 nucleotides) under uncultured bacterium. RNAcentral's name for it is "partial 16S ribosomal RNA". It matches the Rfam family "Bacterial small subunit ribosomal RNA", at positions 28 to 507 of the family's 1533-position model. The record is from RNAcentral.
GAUGAACGCUGGCGGCGUGCCUAAUACAUGCGAGUCGAGCGAACGGACGAGAAGCUUUCUUCUCUGAUUUUAGCGGCGGACGGGUGAGUAACACGUGGAUAACCUACCUAUAAGACUGGGGUAAAUUCGGGAAACCGGAGCUAAGACCGGAUAAUAUUUUGAACCGCAUGGUUCAAGAGUGUAAGACGGUCGUUCUGUCGCUUAUAGAUGGAUCCGCGCUGCAUUAGCUAGUUGGUAAGGUAACGGCUUACCAAGGCAACGAUGCAUAGCCGACCUGAGAGGGUGGACGAGCACCCUGGCACUGAGGAUAGGCACCGACUCCUAAGGGAAGCCACAGUAGGGAAUCCUCCGCAAUGGGCGAAAGCCUGACGGAGCAACGCCGCGUGAGUGAUGAAGGUCUUCGGAUCGUAAAACUAUGUUAUUAGGGAAGAACAUAUGUGUAAGUAACUGUGCACAUCUUGACGGUACCUAAUCAGAAAGCCACGGCUAACUCCGUG